Molecule: ribosomal RNA, 273 nt
Filed under: uncultured bacterium
Lineage: Bacteria
Description: partial 16S ribosomal RNA
Rfam family: Bacterial small subunit ribosomal RNA
Source: RNAcentral
AUACGGAGGAUGCGAGCGUUAUCCGGAUUUAUUAGGUUUAAAGGGUGUGUAGGCGGUAUUUUAAGUCAGUGGUGAAAUCUUUCAGCUUAACUGAGAAACUGCCAUUGAUACUGGAAUACUUGAGUAUAGUUGAGGUAGGCGGAAUAUGUAAUGUAGCGGUGAAUGCAUAGAUAUUACAUAGAACACCGAUUGCGAAGGCAGCUUACUAAACUAUUACUGACGCUGAUGCACGAAAGCGUGGGGAGCGAACAGGAUUAGAAACCCUAGUAGUCC